CAGUCGAGCGGACGGAUGGGAGCUUGCUCCCUGAAGUCAGCGGCGGACGGGUGAGUAACACGUGGGCAACCUGCCUGUAAGACUGGGAUAACUUCGGGAAACCGGAGCUAAUACCGGAUAAUGCAUUUCCCCUCAUGGGGAUAUGCUGAAAGAUGGUUUCGGCUAUCACUUACAGAUGGGCCCGCGGCGCAUUAGCUAGUUGGUGAGGUAACGGCUCACCAAGGCAACGAUGCGUAGCCGACCUGAGAGGGUGAUCGGCCACACUGGGACUGAGACACGGCCCAGACUCCUACGGGAGGCAGCAGUAGGGAAUCUUCCGCAAUGGACGAAAGUCUGACGGAGCAACGCCGCGUGAGUGAUGAAGGUUUUCGGAUCGUAAAACUCUGUUGUCAGGGAAGAACAAGUGCCGGAGUAACUGCCGGCACCUUGACGGUACCUGACCAGAAAGCCACGGCUAACUACGUGCCAGCAGCCGCGGUAAUACGUAGGUGGCAAGCGUUGUCCGGAAUUAUUGGGCGUAAAGCGCGCGCAGGCGGUCUCUUAAGUCUGAUGUGAAAGCCCACGGCUCAACCGUGGAGGGUCAUUGGAAA
Molecule: ribosomal RNA, 590 nt
Filed under: Bacillus sp. CH423b_13T
Lineage: Bacteria; Bacillati; Bacillota; Bacilli; Caryophanales; Bacillaceae
Description: bacterial SSU rRNA
Rfam family: Bacterial small subunit ribosomal RNA
Source: RNAcentral